UUUUGUUUAGGGGGACUUCGGAGGGAUCAUUACCGAGUUUACAACUCCCAAACCCAAUGUGAACGUUACCAAACUGUUGCCUCGGCGGGAUCUCUGCCCCGGGUGCGUCGCAGCCCCGGACCAAGGCGCCCGCCGGAGGACCAACCAAAACUCUUAUUGUAUACCCCCUCGCGGGUUUUUUUAUAAUCUGAGCCUUCUCGGCGCCUCUCGUAGGCGUUUCGAAAAUGAAUCAAAACUUUCAACAACGGAUCUCUUGGUUCUGGCAUCGAUGAAGAACGCAGCGAAAUGCGAUAAGUAAUGUGAAUUGCAGAAUUCAGUGAAUCAUCGAAUCUUUGAACGCACAUUGCGCCCGCCAGUAUUCUGGCGGGCAUGCCUGUCCGAGCGUCAUUUCAACCCUCGAACCCCUCCGGGGGGUCGGCGUUGGGGAUCGGCCCUGCCUUGGCGGUGGCCGUCUCCGAAAUACAGUGGCGGUCUCGCCGCAGCCUCUCCUGCGCAGUAGUUUGCACACUCGCAUCGGGAGCGCGGCGCGUCCACAGCCGUUAAACACCCAACUUCUGAAAUGUUGACCUCGGAUCAGGUAGGAAUACCCGCUGAACUUAAGCAUAUCAUAAACGGGGAAGGAA
This 623-nucleotide ribosomal RNA is filed under the name Trichoderma harzianum. Its description in RNAcentral is "eukaryotic LSU rRNA". The stretch from base 234 to 387 matches the Rfam family "5.8S ribosomal RNA". Lineage: Eukaryota; Fungi; Ascomycota; Sordariomycetes; Hypocreales; Hypocreaceae. The record is from RNAcentral.